CUUGGUCAUUUAGAGGAAGUAAAAGUCGUAACAAGGUCUCCGUAGGUGAACCUGCGGAGGGAUCAUUACAGAGUUCAUGCCCUCACGGGUAGAUCUCCCACCCUGUGUUAUAUUACCUUUGUUGCUUUGGCGGGCCGUUACCUCACGGCUAGCCACCGGCUUAGGCCGGUGUGUGCCCGCCAGAGGACCCCAAACUCUGAAUAUUAGUGUCGUCUGAGUACUAUAUAAUAGUUAAAACUUUCAACAACGGAUCUCUUGGUUCUGGCAUCGAUGAAGAACGCAGCGAAAUGCGAUAAGUAAUGCGAAUUGCAGAAUUCAGUGAGUCAUCGAAUCUUUGAACGCACAUUGCGCCCCGUGGUAUUCCGCGGGGCAUGCCUGUUCGAGCGUCAUUUAACCACUCACGCCUAGCGUGGUAUUGGGGCACGCGGUCUCGCGGCCCUCAAAAUUAGUGGCGGCGCCGGUGGGCUCUAAGCGUAGUACAUACUCCCGCUAUAGAGUUCCCCCGGUGGCUCGCCAGAACCCCCAAUUUUUUACAGGUUGACCUCGGAUCAGGUAGGGAUACCCGCUGAACUUAAGCAUAUCAAUAAGCGGAGGA
This 595-nucleotide ribosomal RNA is filed under the name uncultured Helotiales. Its description in RNAcentral is "eukaryotic LSU rRNA". The stretch from base 236 to 389 matches the Rfam family "5.8S ribosomal RNA". The record is from RNAcentral. Lineage: Eukaryota; Fungi; Ascomycota; Leotiomycetes; Helotiales.